RNAcentral lists this ribosomal RNA (466 nucleotides) under uncultured bacterium. RNAcentral's name for it is "partial 16S ribosomal RNA". It matches the Rfam family "Bacterial small subunit ribosomal RNA", at positions 28 to 507 of the family's 1533-position model. The record is from RNAcentral.
GAUGAACGCUGGCGGCGUGCUUAACACAUGCAAGUCGAACGAUGAAGCCCAGCUUGCUGGGUGGAUUAGUGGCGAACGGGUGAGUAACACGUGAGUAACCUGCCCUUAACUCUGGGAUAAGCCUGGGAAACUGGGUCUAAUACCGGAUAGGAGCGUCCACCGCAUGGUGGGUGUUGGAAAGAUUUAUCGGUUUUGGAUGGACUCGCGGCCUAUCAGCUUGUUGGUGAGGUAAUGGCUCACCAAGGCGACGACGGGUAGCCGGCCUGAGAGGGUGACCGGCCACACUGGGACUGAGACACGGCCUAGACUCCUACGGGAGGCAGCAGUGGGGAAUAUUGCACAAUGGGCGCAAGCCUGAUGCAGCGACGCCGCGUGAGGGAUGACGGCCUUCGGGUUGUAAACCUCUUUCAGUAGGGAAGAAGCGAAAGUGACGGUACCUGCAGAAGAAGCACCGGCUAACUACGUG